This 837-nucleotide ribosomal RNA is filed under the name uncultured archaeon. RNAcentral describes it as "bacterial SSU rRNA". It matches the Rfam family "Archaeal small subunit ribosomal RNA", at positions 21 to 859 of the family's 1478-position model. The record is from RNAcentral.
GGUCACUGCUAUCGGUGUUCGUCUAAGCCAUGCGAGUCAUAUGUUCUUCGGAACAUGGCGUACUGCCCAGUAACACGUGGAUAACCUGCCCUUGGGUCUGGCAUAACUCCGGGAAACUGGGGAUAAUACCGGAUAACGCAUAUCUGCUGGAAUUCUUUAUGCGUGAAAUGGAUUCGUCUGCCCAAGGAUGGGUCUGCGGCCUAUCAGGUAGUAGUGGGUGUAAUGUACCUACUAGCCGACGACGGGUACGGGUUGUGAGAGCAAGAGCCCGGAGAUGGAUUCUGAGACAUGAAUCCAGGCCCUACGGGGCGCAGCAGGCGCGAAAACUUUACAAUGCGGGAAACCGUGAUAAGGGGACACCGAGUGCCAGCAUUAUAUGUUGGCUGUCCGGGUGUGUAAAAUACACCUGUUAGCAAGGGCCGGGCAAGACCGGUGCCAGCCGCCGCGGUAACACCGGCGGCCCGAGUGGUGAUCGUGUUUAUUGGGUCUAAAGGGUCCGUAGCCGGUUUGGUCAGUCCUCCGGGAAAUCUGACGGCUUAACCGUUAGGCUUUCGGGGGAUACUGCCAGACUUGGAACCGGGAGAGGUAAGAGGUACUACAGGGGUAGGAGUGAAAUCUUGUAAUCCCUGUGGGACCACCUGUGGCGAAGGCGUCUUACCAGAACGGGUUCGACGGUGAGGGACGAAAGCUGGGGGCACGAACCGGAUUAGAUACCCGGGUAGUCCCAGCCGUAAACGAUGCUCGCUAGGUGUCAGGCAUGGCGCGACCGUGUCUGGUGCCGCAGGGAAGCCGUGAAGCGAGCCACCUGGGAAGUACGGCCGCAAGGCUGAAACUUGA